UUGACUUUUUUCUCAAGAUUGCUUCAACCUCAAACAUAAAUGCUUCUUUCCUUUUGUACAAAAAAAAAUUAUGUAUAUCUACUUAUUAAUUUUGCCCCUUAUAAAUAGCUAUGUUUUCCCCCAUUGUGGUACUAAGUUAUAUACUCUAAGCAUAUAUCCAGAAAGAAUAAGUUUUAAAUGGAGUUUCCCAAGUUUUUGGUUGUUUUCCUUCUCUUAGUUGUUCCAUUUUCAACUGCAUCAAAUCCUCUUGGUACCACAAAUGAUGUAGAGAGGCCAUUUUGCUUUAAGACAUGCACGCCUGACUUUACAUCGGAAGAUUGCCAAUUUGAUUGCAAAGGCCGAGGGUUUGACUAUGGAUCAUGUGAUAGUAAUCGUUGUUGUUGUCGUCACAACGAAGCUAAUGUAUUAAAUCUGCAUAUUUAAAAAUUUAUAAUAAACUAUGUCAGCUUAUAUGGUUGGA
Lycium ferocissimum is the source of this 460-nucleotide long non-coding RNA. RefSeq lists it as uncharacterized. Lineage: Eukaryota; Viridiplantae; Streptophyta; Magnoliopsida; Solanales; Solanaceae. The record is from RefSeq and is a predicted model, not a curated record. The transcript is spliced from 2 exons.